This 482-nucleotide ribosomal RNA is filed under the name uncultured bacterium. RNAcentral's name for it is "partial 16S ribosomal RNA". It matches the Rfam family "Bacterial small subunit ribosomal RNA", at positions 30 to 507 of the family's 1533-position model. The record is from RNAcentral.
AUUGAACGCUCGCGGCAUGCCUUACACAUGCAAGUCGAACGGUAACAGGUCUUCGGCUGCUGAUGAGUGGCGAAAGGGUGCGUAAUACAUCGGAACGUGCCCGAAUGUGGGGGUUCACGAGGCGAAACCUUUGCUAAUAUACCCUACGACCUCAGACUGACAGCGGGGGAUCUUCGGACAUCUUGCGGCCGGAGCCGCCGAUGUCAGAUUAGGUAGUUGGUGGGAUAAAAGCUUACCAAGCCGACGAUCUGUAGCUGGUCUGAGAGGAUGAUCAGCCACACUGGGACUGAGACACGGCCCAGACUCCUACGGGAGGCAGCAGUGGGGAAUUUUGGACAAUGGGCGAAAGCCUGAUCCAGCCAUGCCGCGUGCAGGAAGAAGGACUUUGGGUUGUAAACUGCUUUUGUUCGGAACGAAAAGCCUCUGGCUAAUAAAGAGGUGUCAUGACGGUACCGUAAGAAUAAGCACCGGCUAACUUCGUG